GUUCCCAGCACCCACCUCAGGAGGCUGACAACAACUGGUAACUCCACCUCCAUGGAACCUAACACUCCUGUCCUCCUCUCCCAGAGCUCCAAGUUCAAUUCCCAAGCACCUGAAUGGCAGUUCACAGCCCUCUGCAACUGAAGUCCCAGAAGAUCCAACGCUGUCUUCUUCUCUUCCCUCUGUAUCUGAAGUCCCAGAAGAUCCAACGCUGUCUUCUUCUCUUCCAACACCAGAGACUAAAACAAAACUAAACGGAACACUCCAACUUGUACUUCAACAUCAAGGCAUAGCAUGUACUUAAAACUUUAACCUGUCAUAACGGUACCACCUGCAGCAACCCGAGAACUGGGACAUGGGAUAGAGAUGACCAGGAGUUUAAUGUCAUCCUGGUCUACACAGACCUUGUCCCCCACCAAAAAAAUCAACAAAAUAGUGCUAGGAUGCAUGUCUUUAGUCCCAGCGCAUGGGGGAGAGGCAGGUGGAUCUCUCCGCAUUCAAGGGCAGCCUGGUCUACCUGGAGAACUCCAGGCCAGCCAAGGAUACACAGUGAGCUCCUGGGGGGGGAAAAAAGUAAAAAUAGAAAACCCGUGAUCAUCUUCAUAUCCAGAAAACUAGAAACAGAGUGAGAGAGGCCUCGUGAGAAAGAUUCCUAACAGAAAUCUUGAGCAGCUCGGAGCAGAAUGAAAAUGCAAGGACAUUAAAGACUCACGAGGAAGGGCUGGGAUAUCGCUCAGCACAGAGCACUUCCUUCACAGACGUCAGGCUCCAAUUCAGUCCCCAGUGCUGAAUAACUUACUAAGAACAUGAAGGCAGCAGGCCAGCGAAGGCCUUGGAGUUGAGCAGACUCCCUGCCCCACAGCCUGGCUGCUCCACUGCAGAUUUGGCCCUUAACAGUGACCACUAAAGCAAUCACUCAAGUGAGGAAAACGAAAACAACAAAAAUGAUAACAUACACAAGGCAGAAUAAAAGACAGACAACGCUCAGGGGACACGGAGGGGCAGGAAGCUGCUCGCUCCAGGAUCUGUUUAACAUUUCUCGCUGGCCGGCGGUCAAGAGCUUCAGCAGAACUAACAAAGGCAGGGAAGAUUGCCCGCUAAGACAACACCCCUAAUGCCCAAAGAUGGCUCAACAUGUGUUAAAGAGGAAGCGGGCUGCGGCUGCUCAACACCAGGGACUUUGCAGCCUGUGAGUUUAUCGGCGCUUUCUCUUCUCCAAACUGGAACCGUGCACCUCAAAAGCCACCUUAAAUUUUAAUAAAGUUCCUUUUAAA
Molecule: long non-coding RNA, 1271 nt
Organism: Psammomys obesus (fat sand rat)
Lineage: Eukaryota; Metazoa; Chordata; Mammalia; Rodentia; Muridae
Exons: 2
Source: RefSeq, a predicted model, not a curated record